GACGAACGCUGGCGGCGUGCUUAACACAUGCAAGUCGAACGGAAAGGCCCUGCUUGCAGGGUACUCGAGUGGCGAACGGGUGAGUAACACGUGGGUGAUCUGCCCUGCACUUCGGGAUAAGCCUGGGAAACUGGGUCUAAUACCGGAUAGGAGCCAUUUUUAGUGUGAUGGUUGGAAAGUUUUUUCGGUGUAGGAUGAGCUCGCGGCCUAUCAGCUUGUUGGUGGGGUAAUGGCCUACCAAGGCGGCGACGGGUAGCCGGCCUGAGAGGGUGGACGGCCACAUUGGGACUGAGAGACGGCCCAGACUCCUACGGGAGGAAGCAGUGGGGAAUAUUGCACAAUGGGCGCAAGCCUGAUGCAGCGACGCCGCGGGGGGGAUGACGGCCUUCGGGUUGUAAACGCCUUUCGCUAGGGACGAAGCUUUUUGUGACGGUACCUAGAGAAGAAGCACCGGCUAACUACGUG
RNAcentral lists this ribosomal RNA (465 nucleotides) under uncultured bacterium. Its description in RNAcentral is "partial 16S ribosomal RNA". It matches the Rfam family "Bacterial small subunit ribosomal RNA", at positions 28 to 507 of the family's 1533-position model. The record is from RNAcentral.